This 460-nucleotide ribosomal RNA is filed under the name uncultured bacterium. RNAcentral's name for it is "partial 16S ribosomal RNA". It matches the Rfam family "Bacterial small subunit ribosomal RNA", at positions 338 to 795 of the family's 1533-position model. The record is from RNAcentral.
CCUACGGUAGGCAGCAGUGAGGAAUAUUGGUCAAUGGACGAGAGUCUGACCCAGCCAAGUAGCGUGAAGGAUGACUGCCCUAUGGGUUGUAAACUUCUUUUAUAAAGGAAUACAACGAGGCACGUGUGCCUUUUUGCAUGUACUUUAUGAAUAAGGAUCGGCUAACUCCGUGCCAGAAGCCGCGGUAAUACGGAGGAUCCGAGCGUUAUCCGGAUUUAUUGGGUUUAAAGGGAGCGUAGAUGGGUUGUUAAGUCAGUUGUGAAAGUUUGCGGCUUAACCGUAAAAUUGCAAUUGAUACUGGCAGUCUUGAGUACAGUUGAGGUAAGCGGAAUUCGUGGUGUAGCGGUGAAAUGCUUAGAUAUCACGAAGAACCCCGAUUGCGAAGGCAGCUGACUAAACUGUGACUGACAUUGAUGCUCGAAAGUGUGGGUAUCAAACAGGAUUAGAUACCCCUGUAGUC